UACAGAGGUCCCAAGCGUUGUUCGGAUUCACUGGGCGUAAAGGGUGCGUAGGCGGUCGGGUAAGUCUGAUGUGAAAUCUCACAGCUUAACUGUGAAACUGCAUUGGAUACUAUCCGGCUCGAGGAAUGGAGGGGAGACUGGAAUACUUGGUGUAGCGGUGAAAUGCGUAGAUAUCAUUUGGAACGCCAAUGGUGAAAACAGGUAGCUGGGGCUGUGCUGACACUGAGACACGAAAGCCAGGGGAGCAAACGGG
Molecule: ribosomal RNA, 253 nt
Filed under: uncultured bacterium
Lineage: Bacteria
Description: partial 16S ribosomal RNA
Rfam family: Bacterial small subunit ribosomal RNA
Source: RNAcentral